GGCUCUUUGAUAUAAAAAUAUAAAGAGUCGAGCCUGCCCAGUGAUAGUUUUUUAACGGCCGCGGUACUCUGACCGUGCAAAGGUAGCAUAAUCAUUUGCCCUAUAAUUGAGGGCUUGUAUGAAUGGUUUGACAAGAGCAUAACUGUCUCCUUAAAAUUUUAUAAAAUUUGGUUUUUAGGUGAAGAAACCUAAAUAUAAUUGAAAGACAAGAAGACCCUAUCGAGCUUUAGAAAAGUUAAUUAAAAAAUAUAACUAAAAUAAUUAAUUUUAAUUAAAAACUUUGGUUGGGGCGACUGAGGAACAUGAAAAGCUUCCUUAAUUUGAAUAUGCUGUAAGCUUUGAUCCAAAAAAUUUGAUUAAGAAAAUUAGUUACCGUAGGGAUAACAGCAUAAUCUUUUUUGAGAGUUCUUAUCGAAAAAAAGGUUUGUGACCUCGAUGUUGGACUAGGAUAUCCUAAAGAUGCAGAAGUCUUUAAGGGCUGGUCUGUUCGACCAUUAAAAUCCU
Molecule: ribosomal RNA, 504 nt
Filed under: Tricula wumingensis
Lineage: Eukaryota; Metazoa; Mollusca; Gastropoda; Littorinimorpha; Pomatiopsidae
Description: partial 16S ribosomal RNA
Rfam family: Bacterial large subunit ribosomal RNA
Source: RNAcentral